This 494-nucleotide ribosomal RNA is filed under the name uncultured bacterium. RNAcentral describes it as "bacterial SSU rRNA". It matches the Rfam family "Bacterial small subunit ribosomal RNA", at positions 349 to 859 of the family's 1533-position model. The record is from RNAcentral.
GAGCAGUGGGGAAUAUUGGACAAUGGGCGAAAGCCUGAUCCAGCAAUGCCGCGUGUGUGAAGAAGGCCUUCGGGUUGUAAAGCACUUUCAGCAGGGAGGAUAAUGACGUUACCUGCAGAAGAAGCACCGGCUAACUUCGUGCCAGCAGCCGCGGUAAUACGAAGGGUGCAAGCGUUAAUCGGAAUUACUGGGCGUAAAGCGCACGUAGGUGGUUUGUUAAGUCGGAUGUGAAAGCCCCGGGCUCAACCUGGGAAUUGCAUUCGAUACUGGCUCACUAGAGUAUGGUAGAGGGAAGCGGAAUUUCCGGUGUAGCGGUGAAAUGCGUAGAUAUCGGAAGGAACACCAGUGGCGAAGGCGGCUUCCUGGACUAAUACUGACACUGAGGUGCGAAAGCGUGGGUAGCAAACAGGAUUAGAUACCCUGGUAGUCCACGCCGUAAACGAUGAGAACUAGCUGUUGGGUAGGUCUAACUUCUUGGUGGCGCAGCUAACGCG